GACGAACGCUGGCGGCGUGCUUAACACAUGCAAGUCGAACGGAAAGGCCCUGCUUUUGUGGGGUGCUCGAGUGGCGAACGGGUGAGCAACACGUGAGUAACCUGCCCUUGACUUUGGGGUAACUUCAGGAAACUGGGGCUAAUACCGGAUAGGAGCUCCUGCUGCAUGGUGGGGGUUGGAAAGUUUCGGCGGUUGGGGAUGGACUCGCGGCUUAUCAGCUUGUUGGUGGGGUAGUGGCUUACCAAGGCUUUGACGGGUAGCCGGCCUGAGAGGGUGACCGGCCACAUUGGGACUGAGAUACGGCCCAGACUCCUACGGGAGGCAGCAGUGGGGAAUAUUGCACAAUGGGCGGAAGCCUGAUGCAGCAACGCCGCGUGCGGGAUGACGGCCUUCGGGUUGUAAACCGCUUUCGCCUGUGACGAAGCGUGAGUGACGGUAAUGGGUAAAGAAGCACCGGCUAACUACGUG
RNAcentral lists this ribosomal RNA (468 nucleotides) under uncultured bacterium. RNAcentral's name for it is "partial 16S ribosomal RNA". It matches the Rfam family "Bacterial small subunit ribosomal RNA", at positions 28 to 507 of the family's 1533-position model. The record is from RNAcentral.